This 711-nucleotide ribosomal RNA is filed under the name Triticum aestivum (bread wheat). RNAcentral's name for it is "partial small subunit ribosomal RNA". The record is from RNAcentral. Lineage: Eukaryota; Viridiplantae; Streptophyta; Magnoliopsida; Poales; Poaceae.
AUGGACGAUCAGAGUUAUUUUGAUCUAUUGCAUAAUGAUGCCGGAUUGAAUGAUUUGCACUGGACUGAAGAACAACAUGUCGAUCUUGAAGGGCAUGUAGAACAAGAAAUUGAUCUCGAAGGGCUUGAAGAACAACAAACUGAUCUCGAAGAGACUGAAGAGUCUACCCCUGUGAAAGCAAGGUCUUCGAAAGCAAAGGCGAAGAAAGCAAGCGCUUCGAAAGCAAGCGCUUCGAAGAGGCAAAAGAAUUUCAGCAAGGCUGAAGACUUAACUUUGGUGGAUGCGUACCUCGAGAUAACUCAAGAUCCAAUCAUAGGAGUAGACCAAUCUCGUGAUUGUUAUUGGAAAAGAAUCGAUGCUUACUUCCAUGCCAAUAAAUCUGAAGACCAUGGUCGCACACAAGGUUCUCUUCAGCAUCGUUGGGCUAUUAUUCAAGAACAAGUGAAUAGGUUUUGUGCAUGUUAUAUUCAGGUCCAGAAUAGGAACCAAAGUGGGAUGACACGUGAAAAUAAGUUGUUCCCAAGAAAAGGCCACCUGGAAUCAAGAGGGCUAAAGAUGCAGCAUGGCGGUCUCAAAGUUCUUUCAGUACAGAGAGAAGAAGAUAGGUUGGUAGAAGAAAGAAAGAAACUUGCAAUACAAGAAAAAAAUGGAAUUAGAAGAAGAAAAGAUACGAAUCAUGAGAAUGGCGGAAGAACGCAUGAUGGGGGCUGA